RNAcentral lists this ribosomal RNA (253 nucleotides) under uncultured bacterium. Its description in RNAcentral is "partial 16S ribosomal RNA". It matches the Rfam family "Bacterial small subunit ribosomal RNA", at positions 524 to 776 of the family's 1533-position model. The record is from RNAcentral.
UACGGAGGGUGCAAGCGUUAUCCGGAUUCACUGGGUUUAAAGGGUGCGUAGGUGGGUUUGUAAGUCAGCGGUGAAAUCUCCGGGCUUAACUCGGAAACUGCCAUUGAUACUAUAGAUCUUGAAUUUUCUGGAGGUAAGCGGAAUAUGUCAUGUAGCGGUGAAAUGCUUAGAUAUGACAUAGAACACCAAUUGCGAAGGCAGCUUACUACAGGGAUAUUGACACUGAGGCACGAAAGCGUGGGGAUCAAACAGG